CCCAACUAUCCCUAUUAAUUAUUACGUUGAUCCUAGAAACCAACAAAAUAGGAUUAACGUCCUAUUUCAUUAUUCCAUGCUAAUGUAUUCAAGCGUUAGCCUGCUUUAAACACUCUAAUUUUUUCAAGGUAACAGUUCUGAUUUCCCACAACACCAAAUUAAUGACAUCACGGUUUGUCAAGAAGGAGGAAUCAGUAAAGCCAGUACAUACCGAAGGCAUGACUAACUUACUAACCCCAAAAUUCAUCUACGAGCAACAACUUUAAUAUAUGCCAUUGGAGCUGAAAUUACCGUGGCUGCUGGCACCAGACUUGCCCUCCAA
This 322-nucleotide unclassified non-coding RNA is filed under the name uncultured Glomerales. RNAcentral describes it as "sequence contains 18S rRNA gene". Lineage: Eukaryota; Fungi; Glomeromycota; Glomeromycetes; Glomerales; Glomeraceae. The record is from RNAcentral. RNAcentral also lists the same sequence under 1 other name.